Molecule: ribosomal RNA, 497 nt
Filed under: uncultured bacterium
Lineage: Bacteria
Description: partial 16S ribosomal RNA
Rfam family: Bacterial small subunit ribosomal RNA
Source: RNAcentral
GACGAACGCUGGCGGCGUGCCUAAUACACGCAAGUUGAGCGCUGAAGGUUGGUACUUGUACCAACUGGAUGAGCAGCGAACGGGUGAGUAACGCGUGGGGAAUCUGCCUUUGAGCGGGGGACAACAUUUGGAAACGAAUGCUAAUACCGCAUAAAAACUUUAAACACAAGUUUUAAGUUUGAAAGAUGCAAUUGCAUCACUCAAAGAUGAUCCCGCGUUGUAUUAGCUAGUUGGUGAGGUAAAGGCUCACCAAGGCGAUGAUACAUAGCCGACCUGAGAGGGUGAUCGGCCACAUUGGGACUGAGACACGGCCCAAACUCCUACGGGAGGCAGCAGUAGGGAAUCUUCGGCAAUGGACGAAAGUCUGACCGAGCAACGCCGCGUGAGUGAAGAAGGUUUUCGGAUCGUAAAACUCUGCUGGUAGAGAAGAACGUUGGUGAGAGUGGAAAGCUCAUCAAGUGACGGUAACUACCCAGAAAGGGACGGCUAACUACGUG